UUACGUCCAUAUCAGUUUGAAACACCGAUUCUUGUAUGAUCACCUAAGUUAAGCAACGUCGAGUCUGGUCAGUACCUAGGAAGGUGACCGCUUGGGAAUACA
This is a non-coding RNA of Acanthosepion pharaonis, 102 nucleotides long. NCBI's taxonomy places the organism in Eukaryota, Metazoa, Mollusca, Cephalopoda, Sepiida, Sepiidae. The record is from the annotation of a GenBank genome assembly.